This is an unclassified non-coding RNA of Nothoprocta perdicaria, 166 nucleotides long. The record is from Ensembl. NCBI's taxonomy places the organism in Eukaryota, Metazoa, Chordata, Aves, Tinamiformes, Tinamidae.
UUUAUAGUGCUGGAGGCUGAAGUUCUGUAUUUAUUCACAGAGCAGAUACAGCAUGGGAAGCGGCUCUGCAAUGUCCCUGUUUGCCUAAACCCUGACCUGGAGGGACCCCCACUGAGAAUCAGAGGUUAGUUCAGUCUUCAUUUGACUUGUUCUCUCUAUUAAGACU